RNAcentral lists this ribosomal RNA (493 nucleotides) under uncultured bacterium. Its description in RNAcentral is "bacterial SSU rRNA". It matches the Rfam family "Bacterial small subunit ribosomal RNA", at positions 8 to 518 of the family's 1533-position model. The record is from RNAcentral.
AGAGUUUGAUCCUGGCUUAGGACGAACGCUGGCGGCGUGCUUCAUACAUGCAAGUCGAACGAUAAGGUCUCUUCGGAGAUACAUAAGUGGCGGACGGGUGAGUAAAAUGUAGAGAAUCUGCCCUAGAGUGGGGGACAACAGAGGGAAACUUCUGCUAAUACCCCAUAUGCGCGUAGCUGAGAUGCUAUUCGUGAAAACUCCGGUGCUCUGGGAUGAGUCUGCAUCUGAUUAGCUAGUAGGCGGUGUAAUGGACCACCUAGGCGACGAUCAGUAGCUGGUUUGAGAGGAUGAUCAGCCACAAUGGGACUGAGACACGGCCCAUACUCCUACGGGAGGCAGCAGUAGGGAAUUUUGCGCAAUGGGGGAAAAACCCCCUGACGCAGCAACGCCGCGUGACCGAUGAAGCCCUUCGGGGUGUAAAGGUCUGUCAGUGGGGACGAAACUUGACGGUACCCACAGAGGAAGCAUCGGCUAACUCCGUGCCAGCCGCGGC